This 128-nucleotide ribosomal RNA is filed under the name Cetraspora pellucida. RNAcentral describes it as "partial 5.8S ribosomal RNA". It matches the Rfam family "5.8S ribosomal RNA", at positions 30 to 154 of the family's 154-position model. Rfam says of the family: 5.8S ribosomal RNA (5.8S rRNA) is a component of the large subunit of the eukaryotic ribosome. It is transcribed by RNA polymerase I as part of the 45S precursor that also contains 18S and 28S rRNA. Functionally, it is thought that 5.8S rRNA may be involved in ribosome translocation. The record is from RNAcentral. Lineage: Eukaryota; Fungi; Glomeromycota; Glomeromycetes; Diversisporales; Gigasporaceae.
GCAUCGAUGAAGAACGCAGCGAAAUGCGAUAAGUAAUGUGAAUUGCAGAAUUCCGUGAAUCAUCAAAUUUUUGAACGCAAAUUGCACUCCUUGGUAUUCCGAGGAGUACACCUGCUUGAGGGUCAGUU